This 701-nucleotide ribosomal RNA is filed under the name Arthrobacter sp. Zn7. RNAcentral's name for it is "bacterial SSU rRNA". It matches the Rfam family "Bacterial small subunit ribosomal RNA", at positions 8 to 717 of the family's 1533-position model. Lineage: Bacteria; Bacillati; Actinomycetota; Actinomycetes; Micrococcales; Micrococcaceae. The record is from RNAcentral.
AGAGUUUGAUCCUGGCUCAGGAUGAACGCUGGCGGCGUGCUUAACACAUGCAAGUCGAACGAUGAAGCUGGAACUUGUUCUGGUGGAUUAGUGGCGAACGGGUGAGUAACACGUGAGCAACCUGCCCAAGACUUUCGGGAUAAGCCUGGGAAACUGGGUCUAAUACUGGAUAUGACCUUUCAUCGCAUGGUGUUUGGUGGAAAGAUUUUUUGGUUUUGGAUGGGCUCGCGGCCUAUCAGCUUGUUGGUGAGGUAAUGGCUUACCAAGGCUUCGACGGGUAACCGGCCUGAGAGGGUGACCGGUCACACUGGGACUGAGACACGGCCCAGACUCCUACGGGAGGCAGCAGUGGGGAAUAUUGCACAAUGGGCGAAAGCCUGAUGCAGCGACGCCGCGUGAAGGAUGACGGCCUUCGGGUUGUAAACCUCUUUCAGUCAGGAACAAGCCUUCGGGUGAGGGUACUGGCAGAAGAAGCACCGGCUAACUACGUGCCAGCAGCCGCGGUAAUACGUAGGGUGCGAGCGUUAUCCGGAAUUAUUGGGCGUAAAGAGCUUGUAGGCGGUUUGUCGCGUCUGCUGUGAAAGCCCGGGGCUUAACUCGGGGUCUGCAGUGGGUACGGGCAGGCUAGAGUGAUGUAGGGGUAACUGGAAUUCCUGGUGUAGCGGUGGAAUGCGCAGAUAUCAGGAAGAACACCGAUGGCG